RNAcentral lists this non-coding RNA (29 nucleotides) under Homo sapiens (human). Lineage: Eukaryota; Metazoa; Chordata; Mammalia; Primates; Hominidae. The record is from RNAcentral.
UUCCACGUGUAAAUCAAGAUUUUAGAAGG